RNAcentral lists this ribosomal RNA (232 nucleotides) under uncultured bacterium. RNAcentral describes it as "partial 16S ribosomal RNA". It matches the Rfam family "Bacterial small subunit ribosomal RNA", at positions 118 to 351 of the family's 1533-position model. The record is from RNAcentral.
UGAGCAAUCUGCCCUUCUCUUUGGAAUAAGCGUUGGAAACGACGUCUAAUGCCGAAUACGACCUCCUUUCGCAUGAUCGGAGGUGGAAAGCUCCGGCGGUCAAGGAUGAGCUCGCGGCCUAUCAGCUUGUUGGUGGGGUGAUGGCCUACCAAGGCGACGACGGGUAGCCGGCCUGAGAGGGCGACCGACCACACUGGGACUGAGACACGGCCCAGACUCCUACGGGAGGNAG